This 352-nucleotide ribosomal RNA is filed under the name uncultured Glomus. Its description in RNAcentral is "SSU rRNA". It matches the Rfam family "Eukaryotic small subunit ribosomal RNA", at positions 569 to 928 of the family's 1831-position model. The record is from RNAcentral. Lineage: Eukaryota; Fungi; Glomeromycota; Glomeromycetes; Glomerales; Glomeraceae.
AGCAGCCGCGGUAAUUCCAGCUCCAAUAGCGUAUAUUAAAGUUGUUGCAGUUAAAAAGCUCGUAGUUGAAUUUCGGGAUCAAAGGAUCGGUCAUGCCUUGAUAUGUACUGGUUUUAUUGGUUCUCACCUUCUAAAGAACCAUAAUGUCAUUCAUUUGAUGUUAUGGGGAAUUAGGACUGUUACCUUGAAAAAUUAGAGUGUUUAAAGCAGGCUUACGCUUGAAUACAUUAGCAUGGAAUAAUGAAAUAGGACAUCAGAUUCUAUUUUGUUGGUUUCUAGGAUCGAUGUAAUGAUUAAUAGGAUAGUUGGGGCAUUAGUAUUCAAUUGUCAGAGGUGAAAUUCUUGGUAUUUA